Molecule: transfer RNA, 76 nt
Filed under: bacterium J10(2018)
Lineage: Bacteria
Also listed under: 2 other names
Description: tRNA-Phe
Rfam family: tRNA
About the family: Transfer RNA (tRNA) molecules are approximately 80 nucleotides in length. Their secondary structure includes four short double-helical elements and three loops (D, anti-codon, and T loops).
Source: RNAcentral
GGACACUUGGCAGACAUGGUGUAUGCGCAGGACUGAAAAUCCUGAGAAUGUGGUUCGAGUCCACGAGUGUCCACGA